AUGAGCAAACCUCAUCGAAUAAACCACAUAUAUUUACUUGACAAGUUCACCAGAUUCUCAGAUGCCCCGAAAUCAAAACGGCGCAGGAGAACAACACGGCAGCAGGUAUUAUGGCGUGGAAUCGAACCUGUGACAUCCAAGCGCGCGGCAGCAGGGCCUCGAAUCACUGCUCUACCGGCUGCCCCAAAAUCCGGUCAAGUCACUGUGACUGUUGGGCGUUCAGUAGCGCCUCCUCAUUCUCAGCUGACUAACUGCGUCAAACUGCGUCCUUCCAUUGGCUGUCGGGAGCUGUCCGUCAGCGUCGCGUUUACCGCGGACCGUUACCUCACACAUGUCACGUGUAACCAGCAUGACAUCGUAGCAGCGUGGUCGCGCCACGAAGGGCUCGCAUUUGUUUGUGCAACGGGACCAAUGGGCGUGCGAUGUUUUUCAACUGCGCCACGGCGACGCGUGGACGUGUGAUGAGUUCAGAACCCACGUGUGUGAAAAACGGAGCCAGGAAGUGUUUCGCAGACAUUUCUUGGAAAUGUCAAUCUUCUCCGUUUAUUUGGAAACACUCAGAGUGUGCAAGCUGUCCGCUAUAAUAAGAAAAAGAAAAAGAAAAAGAAAAAAAAGCUGUCCACUGUCUGGACCCAAAGGACUUGGGUUAAUUUGUAACUCUGUGUGACCCGGGGGGGGUAACAAAGGGCUCGCUCAAUUUGCACGGCGUGUCGCCGAGAUGAGGGCCGAGAGCAGCAGCGAGCGACGGUGGAAGUGAGUCAGUGUGACGGACGCCACGCCGAGUGAAGCCGAGCGCCAGCGGAGGAAACGGCCUGCAGCCAAUCGGGGACCUGUUGCUGAGGAGCUGCUUUCGCAUUAAAACGUCAUCCUGUGGCCGUGCGCCCCCACGCAUUUUUUUGAAAGCCGCGUCUUUUUAAAUUGAAUUACUCAACAGUUCCUGUUAGGCAGUAACGACAGCAGCGUUCGGACCGCGCGCUCUGUUCUGCGCCCUCGCUUCGCCAUGGCGUUCACAUCGGAGCUCACUGCACGCAGCUGCACCGGGAUGCUGUGUGUUCAAAGCCCAGCCUGUAAACUGUUCUACUCCGAAGAAAAUUUCGUUUUGCGUCAUCAAAUCAAUUUUGCGCUACUUUGGUCCUCUUAAAAAGAGGCAGUUCCUUUGCUUGCCAGAUUAUGUCCUCAAUUUCGGUGAGGGCUCAUUCCCGAAAAAUCACUGUGCUGUGACCCGGAGGGGGGGGGGGGGGGGUUGGGGAGGGGUGCCCCCACCCCACCCCACCCCGCCGGCUCAUGUUCUGAAGGAACGUCUGGGAUGGAAGUGACCCUCACAGCCGGCACUGCGUGUUUCCCACCAGAAGGGGACAUCUUUCCGCAGCUUUCCAGAAGGGGCACAAAUCGCCGCUGUGUCCAAGUGCAGGUAGUUCCCGGCUGAGAUGGAAAGCGGAGAUGCAGAGUGCGUGAGUGUGUGUGUGUGUGUGUGUGUGUGUGUGUGUGUGUGUGUGUGUGUGUGUGUGUGUGUGUGUGUGAGAGAGAGAGAGAGAGAGAGUGAGUGCUCCAUUCCUGGCCACUGCACUAGUUACAUGAGGGAAGUCUGUGCAAUGAAAUACAAAAGGAGAACAAAGAAGGGGGGGCAGAGAGUAGAUGAGUCAUCCAAACCCAAGACCUGUUUGCUUUCGGAAGGUUCUCAGCUCAUGUUGUCCGAGGAGAACUCUCGCUGUGCCCAGCGUUCACUUUGCAGCGGAGGACUCUCGGCUGCCCGCCGCUCUCCUCUGGCCGCUCGCAACCCUCAUAAUAUGUGAUAAUGAGCAGCAUUAUGCUCCUUUAAGCCCCUCUGCUGGACCUGGCGCCCUCGUCGCCGGGGGUCCGGUUACUCUCUUUUUAGUGUGAGCCACACGUGACUGUGCCCGGAGCGCCGGCCUGAGACGGGAGGUGUCAUGUUCACGCCCUCUUUCUCAAUCGGGGGCUCCGUUCAGCGUACGAUGGGAAGGGGGGGCUUGGAGAUGCAGACAAGGCGACUGGGGGAGGUGGGGGCCGGGUCCAGCGCUACAGGAGAACCACAGGCCGGGCGAUUUUCCACCACGUUUUCUGCCUCACCUCGGGAGCGCAGUAAUUCCCCAGUGAGCCGCAGCGCCGCCGUGCUCGGAGCCCCUUUUCUUUCAGGGGGGAGGCGGUACGUUCCACGAUUGUCGUGCACCUGUUGCACUGGACCGGGAUUCCGUGCGGAGCUCGCGAGGGGGCGUGGCGGUCAGCUGUGCUCGGCCGUUAGAGCCGCUGACCUCUUUGGCAUGUGUCCUGAAAUAGCAGGUCAUUUAUGGCCAAUGGAAAGACAGACAAUGGCCACCCGCGCAAGCCGGGUCGACCGGGCCGUUCGGAGGUGUCCGGUCACGUCGUAGACCGAGGACACGCCGCAUGUCCGUGACACCGUGUUCCAGUUAACACUCUGAUUUUAUCGGCAGGUUCAUCAGCAGGUGUAAACAGCCAUUGUUAUACUUCAGCAAAGAGUAUUACCUUGUUGCUGUUUCUGCUUCUUUAAACACAGUAAUGUGGUCAGUUUGUCCCGAUGUUGUAGAUCACCUUGACAAAAAAGAGCUGCCAAGUACACAGACAGACAGACAGACAGACAGACAGACAGCUAGAUACAUAAGAUAUAGGUACAUAGAUACAUAGUAACAUUCCACCUGGACACUGCAGCUCUCUCCUGUCUGCUCUUCCAGCUUCUGCCAUCAAGCCUCUGGAGCUGAUACAGAAUACCGCGGUACGAGUCGCGUUCGACCUACCGAAGGGUUCCCGUGUACCCCCCUCCUCGUCUCUCUCCGUCGGCUUCCUAUCGCUGCCCGGAUCAAACUCGACAGUCCGGUUACGACUCGCGCGAGCGGCGCACGAGCGGAUCCGCUCCCUCGUAUCUACAAGAGCUCAUCGCUCGCCGCACCCCCGCCGGACCGCCGCGUUCCUCCGGCUCCGCUCGCUUCGUGGUCCCGCGCGCAAAAGGGCCGAACGUUUUCGGUUCUGCCUCCGAUGUGCCGGAACGACCUCCCGCUCUCACUCAGAACUGCUGAAUCCCUCUGUACGUUUCAGAAGAGUCUCAAAACUCACCUCUUUCAGACUCCCUUCUCCUUGAUCGCCGAAGUGCUCAAUAAAUGUGUGCUGUCUCGUCUGUUUAUAAUAUAA
This 3162-nucleotide long non-coding RNA is filed under the name Scleropages formosus (Asian bonytongue). Its description in RNAcentral is "lncRNA (ENSSFOG00015031683.1)". Lineage: Eukaryota; Metazoa; Chordata; Actinopteri; Osteoglossiformes; Osteoglossidae. The record is from RNAcentral.